This is a non-coding RNA of Paramuricea clavata, 112 nucleotides long. Lineage: Eukaryota; Metazoa; Cnidaria; Anthozoa; Malacalcyonacea; Plexauridae. The record is from the annotation of a GenBank genome assembly.
ACUAAUAUACACAGCAUUCGCGUCCGUGUUGUAUGAGAUGUACAAACUCAAAGCAGAGGUGGGUGGUUGUAUGUCGGUUACAGCACGGACGAGGAUGCUGUAGGCUAUAUAG